This 492-nucleotide ribosomal RNA is filed under the name uncultured bacterium. Its description in RNAcentral is "partial 16S ribosomal RNA". It matches the Rfam family "Bacterial small subunit ribosomal RNA", at positions 28 to 507 of the family's 1533-position model. The record is from RNAcentral.
GAUGAACGCUAGCUACAGGCUUAACACAUGCAAGUCGAGGGGAAACGGCAUUAAGUGCUUGCACUUUUUGGACGUCGACCGGUGCACGGGUGAGUAACGCGUAUCCAACCUUCCCAUGACUAAGGGAUAACCUGCCGAAAGGCAGACUAAUACCUUAUGGUCUUCACUGACGGCAUCAGAUGUGAAGUAAAGAUUUAUCGGUUAUGGAUGGGGAUGCGUCUGAUUAGCUUGUUGGCGGGGUAACGGCCCACCAAGGCAACGAUCAGUAGGGGUUCUGAGAGGAAGGUCCCCCACAUUGGAACUGAGACACGGUCCAAACUCCUACGGGAGGCAGCAGUGAGGAAUAUUGGUAAAUGGGCGAGAGCCUGAACCAGCCAAGUAGCGUGCAGGAUGACGGCCCUAUGGGUUGUAAACUGCUUUUGUAUGGGGAUAAAGUCAAUCACGUGUGAUUGUUUGCAGGUACCAUACGAAUAAGGACCGGCUAAUUCCGUG